This 553-nucleotide ribosomal RNA is filed under the name Curvularia lunata. Its description in RNAcentral is "eukaryotic LSU rRNA". The stretch from base 183 to 336 matches the Rfam family "5.8S ribosomal RNA". The record is from RNAcentral. Lineage: Eukaryota; Fungi; Ascomycota; Dothideomycetes; Pleosporales; Pleosporaceae.
ACCUGCGGAGGGAUCAUUACACAAAUUAAAAUAUGAAGGCUUCGGCUGGAUUAUUUUUAUCACCCUUGUCUUUUGCGCACUUGUUGUUUCCUGGGCGGGUUCGCCCGCCACCAGGACCACACCAUAAACCUUUUUUUAUGCAGUUGCAAUCAGCGUCAGUAUAACAAAUGUAAAUCAUUUACAACUUUCAACAACGGAUCUCUUGGUUCUGGCAUCGAUGAAGAACGCAGCGAAAUGCGAUACGUAGUGUGAAUUGCAGAAUUCAGUGAAUCAUCGAAUCUUUGAACGCACAUUGCGCCCUUUGGUAUUCCAAAGGGCAUGCCUGUUCGAGCGUCAUUUGUACCCUCAAGCUUUGCUUGGUGUUGGGCGUCUUUUGUCUUUGGCCUCGCCCAAAGACUCGCCUUAAAACGAUUGGCAGCCGGCCUACUGGUUUCGCAGCGCAGCACAUUUUUGCGCUUGCAAUCAGCAAAAAGGACGGCAAUCCAUCAAGACUACAUUUUUACGUUUGACCUCGGAUCAGGUAGGGAUACCCGCUGAACUUAAGCAUAUCAAU